RNAcentral lists this unclassified non-coding RNA (1044 nucleotides) under Hevea brasiliensis (rubber tree). Lineage: Eukaryota; Viridiplantae; Streptophyta; Magnoliopsida; Malpighiales; Euphorbiaceae. The record is from RNAcentral.
GUUCGACAAAAAUUUUCAGAUCGAACUGAGAAAAUCAAACCGUAGAAUCGAACAAUGAGUCGAGGAAGUGGAGGCGGAUACGAUCGUCACAUUACGAUCUUCUCACCGGAAGGUCGUCUCUUUCAAGUCGAAUAUGCUUUUAAGGCUGUGAAGGCAGCUGGAAUCACAUCUAUUGGUGUCCGUGGAAAGGACUCUGUUUGUGUUGUUACUCAGAAGAAAGUCCCUGACAAGCUAUUGGAUCAGACCAGUGUAUCCCAUUUGUUCCCAAUUACCAAGUAUCUUGGACUAUUGGCUACUGGCAUGACAGCUGAUGCAAGAACUUUGGUUCAACAAGCUCGAAAUGAAGCUGCUGAGUUUCGCUUUAAAUAUGGUUAUGAAAUGCCAGCAGAUGUACUGUCUAAAUGGAUCGCGGACAAGUCCCAGGUUUACACACAGCAUGCCUAUAUGAGACCCCUUGGAGUAGUUGCUAUGAUUUUGGGCAUUGAUGAGGAGAAAGGGCCCCAGCUCUUCAAAUGUGACCCUGCUGGUCAUUUUUUUGGUCAUAAGGCUACAAGUGCCGGAUCUAAAGAGCAAGAGGCAAUUAACUUUUUGGAGAAGAAAAUGAAAAAUAACCCUGCGUUCUCCUAUGAGGAAACUGUUCAGACCACUAUUUCUGCUCUUCAAUCUGUUCUGCAAGAAGAUUUCAAGGCCAGUGAAAUUGAGGUUGGUGUUGUGAGAAAAGAAGAUCCCGUCUUUAGAGUGUUAACUACUGAGGAAAUCGACGAGCACUUAACAGCCAUCAGUGAGCGUGACUGAUUAGCCACAUGAUACACAGUCCGUUUUCUGUUAGAAAUGUAUGUUUUGCUAUCAAGACUUGCAAAAGAGAUCCCAUUUGAUUGUUAGUUGCUAUCAAUCCUUCUGCAUAUGCUGAUAAAUGAGUUUCUAUUUGUCGAAUGUAACAUUUCAUGGGAUCUUCUUAGUUUCAACAAAACGUUUGAAUCCUUCUAUCAUUAUCUAUCUACGAUCUUUUGUACUUUGAUUAUCAUACUAUUUUAUCAUUGUUUU